GUGAGGUGGAACUUUCAAUCAAGGCGCUCUUUAGAAGAAGCCACACGUCGCCAUGGUGCCGUCUGUGAUGUGGUCGAUGGUCAUCAUCUUGUGACGGCUGACGGACGGUAGUGGUUGCGGGAUGUGGAGUCCUUGCUGAUAUAUUCCAUCUGCAGAGUUCUCGCCAGUUUUCUGAAGCUGAGCCGUGAUUGGUUGUGACGUACCACUGUGAUGUCAUCAUCAGGCGACAGCAAGUGACAAAAUGGCCGCGCCAGGUGAGGGACCAAACCAGGCACAGCUUGCCAUGCUUGGAACUGCUUGGUGGAAAAACCGAAAAGAACUUGAGACUGUGAACAAAGAGCUUCUUCUGAAUAAAUGCAUGAAAGAAUGUUAUUCACAAAGUCAUGCAAUUACAGGCAACCUGCAACAGAGGGCGCUCUACAAAACCCCUGAACUUGCAACCUCAAAUUUCCCAUCAUGAUUGAACGGCAUGGAAAAAAUGUGGGCGCUUCAUCGGCCCGUGCGGGUCCAUUCACUGAUUCCUACGGUAGUGUGAGUGAUUUUGUGUUUGCUUUGUCAUACAGUUGAGUUUGCUCACGUCUGAGGAUCAGUUCACAGCAAUGUUUGAGAUUGUGCAACCAGUUUUUCUUUGAAUGCGUCACAAUCAGAGCGCCACACAAGCUCCCCUUGAGCUUUGUAUGGUGCCACACACACAGGCUCCUUCAUACUCAGUUCCCAUGAAAUUGCUUCUUCUUUUGCAGUCAAUGGCUUCAUUUGAGCUUGUGUGUGUGUGGUGACUGGUGGUUGGGGGUGAUGAAAAAGACAAAGAUUGGCAAAUAUUUGAUUUGGUUGAUUUUCUCCACCCCCCCCCCCCC
Syngnathus typhle (broad-nosed pipefish) is the source of this 854-nucleotide long non-coding RNA. RefSeq lists it as uncharacterized. The record is from RefSeq and is a predicted model, not a curated record. The transcript is spliced from 3 exons. NCBI's taxonomy places the organism in Eukaryota, Metazoa, Chordata, Actinopteri, Syngnathiformes, Syngnathidae.